GACGAACGCUGGCGGCGUGCUUAACACAUGCAAGUCGAACGGAAAGGCCUGUCCUUCCUUGUGUUGGACGGGUACUCGAGUGGCGAACGGGUGAGUAACACGUGAGUGAUCCGCCCCCAACUUGUGUAUAAGCCUGGGAAACUGGGUCUAAUUCCCUAUAGGACUGCAGGGGGGUGCCGGUGGUUUAAAACGAUGUUCUAGUGGUUGGGGAUGAGCUCGCGGCCUAUCAGCUUGUUGGUGGGGUAAUGGCGUACCAAGGGGGCGAAGGGUAGCCGGCCUGAGGGGGUGGACCGGCGCAUUGGGACUGAGCUACGGCCCAGGCUCCGACGGGCGGCAGCAGUGGGGAAGAUUGGCAGAUGGGCGGAAGACUGAUGCAGCGACGCCGCGUGGGGGAUGCCGGGCUUCGGGUUGUAAACUCCUUUCGGCCGCGAGGAAGCCGCCUGGUUGGAAGGGUUGUGACGGUAGUGGUAGAAGAAGCACUGGCUAACUACGUG
This 494-nucleotide ribosomal RNA is filed under the name uncultured bacterium. RNAcentral describes it as "partial 16S ribosomal RNA". It matches the Rfam family "Bacterial small subunit ribosomal RNA", at positions 28 to 507 of the family's 1533-position model. The record is from RNAcentral.